RNAcentral lists this ribosomal RNA (540 nucleotides) under uncultured rumen bacterium. RNAcentral's name for it is "bacterial SSU rRNA". It matches the Rfam family "Bacterial small subunit ribosomal RNA", at positions 44 to 573 of the family's 1533-position model. The record is from RNAcentral.
AGGCUUAACACAUGCAAGUCGAGGGGCAGCAUUAUCGAAGCUUGCUUUGAUAGAUGGCGACCGGCGCACGGGUGCGUAACACGUAUCCAAUCUACCCAUGGCUCAGGGAUAGCCUUCUGAAAAGGAGAUUAAUACCUGAUGGUCUGUGAUUGAGACAUCUCGAACACAGUAAAGAUAUAUCGGCGAUGGAUGAGGAUGCGUCUGAUUAGCUUGUUGGCGGGGUAACGGCCCACCAAGGCGACGAUCAGUAGGGGUUCUGAGAGGAAGGUCCCCCACAUUGGAACUGAGACACGGUCCAAACUCCUACGGGAGGCAGCAGUGAGGAAUAUUGGUCAAUGGUCGAGAGACUGAACCAGCCAAGUAGCGUGAAGGAUGACUGCCCUAUGGGUUGUAAACUUCUUUUGUAUGGGAAUAAAGUCAGGGACGUGUCCCUGUUUGUAUGUACCUUACGAAUAAGCAUCGGCUAAUUCCGUGCCAGCAGCCGCGGUAAUACGGAAGAUGCGAGCGUUAUCCGGAUUUAUUGGGUUUAAAGGGAGCGUA